Molecule: long non-coding RNA, 6190 nt
Filed under: Taeniopygia guttata (zebra finch)
Lineage: Eukaryota; Metazoa; Chordata; Aves; Passeriformes; Estrildidae
Description: lncRNA (ENSTGUG00000027064.1)
Source: RNAcentral
UGCAAGUAGAUGAGAGGGUAGGACACAAAUCACAUUGCUCCUCCACAGGCUAGAAGCAACCAGAGCCCACGCCAGGACCUCCAUCUGGAAGCAGCUGAGGUACAAUUUCCUACCUCCACAGCUUCAAGCAGAGAGAAAAACUGCCCAUGCUGCCCUUUGCAGUAGUGCUCUGAUCACAAGGGUAGCAAACCCAACUCAUGGCUAGAGAUUUCUCACAAGACAUUAAAAAACUGAAAUACAGACCUGCAAGCAAUUUCCACAAAUAUCUAUUGUAGAAUGUAAUAUAGUGCAAUUGAAUAUAGUAUAGAGCGAAUAUAGUAUCGAGAUCCUGGUGGCCAGAGAUCAAAGGUUUCUCAAAAAACAAGUCAGCCAAAGUUACAACCAGCAUUUUCAUGACAACAAAUAAGCCAGCCAUUCCCAGAAUGGCUAAGACCUUCAAAAUACAGAAACACUGUGUGAUUCCAACAUACCUGAAGAUAGGUGCCGCAUAAAGAAAAGCUUUUCAGAUUUCUUGUUGGACACAGCCACUCCUCACAAGUCACCAGUGCACUCCUAAAUCUAGAUCCCCAGCUUUCCCCAUCCCUCACCAAGGACCACAAACUACAGUCUGCCGCACUGUGCCAGCCCCAUGACAGAUCUGAGGCUUAGGGCUCAUAGGAUUGUUUAUUCACUGGAGAUUUAAAAACCUGCAUAAUUCAAACUUAUCAUAAUGAGAAGGCACAGACUAAUUCUUGCUUUAAAACAACAUCUUCAAAAAAAUGGCUUGAGAUAUGAUGGUUUUCCCAGGUAAAGAAUCACACAGUGAUCAUGACAAUUACCUGCAACAAGUAGGACUGUUCAGCAUCAUCCAAGAUCCCACCACAGACAGUCAUAAUUCUUCCUGGGAGGAACACAACAAGCUUAAUGGGUUGUAAGUCUGGUGCACAAACUGCAUGAAGUCAAGUAUUAAGUAUAAGCCAAGUAGAGUAUUGUCAGAACUCAUCCCCAUAUGGGCCACCAAUUGUUGGUGUCAGUGCUUAGCGCCAAUUGAGUGGAUGGGAACUGACUGUCACUGUUAGUUUAUUACCUUACUGUAGGACUUUGAUACCUUCUCUCUGCGAGUUCUCAUGGGCAACUCCUCAUAGCACUGACUCCUUUUCUCUUCCUUACACAAAGCUGGUUGACUUCUUCCUGUCCCUAACACACACACCUGACCCUCACUCCUCACAGCAGCAGAGCCAACUGACUCCAACUCUUUCUCAACCAGCUGAGCCACUCUUUUAUAACCCAUCCUUACUGGACACAGCUGUGCCCUAUUUAGGGCAGGACUGUUCCUACUCUUUGGUAAUCAGUACAGCUGCAACUCCUCAGGGGUAAGACUGCCUUCAGCACUAUCUCUGUUGUCUCACAAUCCAUACUCACACAGUGUAUAGUCUAUCAAGCUGCAUAUAUAAAUAACAGUUUUCUUUAUCUGUUUCCUUACUGAUGACACUUGUUUUGCCCAUUAGAGUCCAAAAAGUCAAGGUGGCCAUUUGCCAAACGAGGAAUUGUGAGUAUUUUUACAAUUUUAUUUUUCCUGUCACUGACCUUGCCUUUUCCCACAACUAACCUUGGUAAAAGUAGCUCCUUUACUUUCUUGCCCUUGGAGAAAGGCAGCCAGCAGAUGAGCUGAACUCAGAGGUGUCCCAGCCUCCCUGGGACCACUUGCACAUUAAUCUGCAAUGAAGACUGGGUGGCUCCAGUGCAGCCAUUGCACGUGAUGCACAUGAAAACAGUCGGUGCCACUGCUCCCCAUCCCUGUGGGUGGUGGGAGGAGAGGUGUCCUUGGCACUGGGAGGGCAGAGUGGGAUGGGCAAUGAGAGCAGGGGCUCUCAUUCAGGGAUGGCAGCAGGCCCCAUGCAUCUCCCGAGGGUAAGGUAGCACAAGGUGAACAAACCAGUUGCAUUGUUGCUUUCACCAUCGUAUAUCCUGCAUUUUCUGUGUGCCUUAGGGCUUUGGAGAAUGCGAUGAACUGCCACUCACAUGGAAGGGAUCUAAGCUUUAUUUACACAAGCAGCAUUCCAGGACACUUUCUGAGGCCUUUCCUGUCCUCAGGGGUGCCCUCACACUCAACAGUGAAAGCACAGUGAAUUUCUUUGUCUAACACAAUUUGUUAUCUUUUCCACUUAUGAAAACUUUCACUUACUAAGGUAUCUGAAUUUUCUUUCUGUAUACUUUACAGCAUUCCAAAAAUUAUUUACAAGUUUCUUGAUAACAUUUUUUCCCAAAGCAUGUAAUUAAAAACAGUCCCUUCCCAGUAUUUUUUGCAUUUUAUCAAAGAAUAGUUUGUGCAUGCAGAACCAAUGCAAGUAUUUAGGUUUAUAUGUACAAGAACUCCCUCUUCAUUUGAUAGUAGUUUCAUAACAUUUGAAGGAGCAAGACCAAAACCUGAGGAUUUUUAAAUUUCAGCAAAACACUUUAAAUCUGCAAUAAAAAGCAUUUGAUAUUUAGACAAAAGUUAUUUCUAAGACUAUUAAAUGCCAAAAAAUUUAAUUCAUGAAAAUUCACUUGCUGGUACACUGGUUCAGUGUGCAUAUAUAUUAACUGCAUUAUUUUUUCUGACCUAUUUCAAUCUAUCUUUCAAAAUUAGGAGCUGAACCUAAACCCCAAGUUUCAAAUAUUAUAAUCAAACACAUAUUUCAAAAUUGGCCUGAGUUCAGUGCCUAAAGUUCAGAUAAUAUAAAUCCAUGAAGUGGGAAUAUACUGUUCCAGAGAACAGAUAAAACUUAAGCAAACACCUUAUAAGUCUGUGCCCACAGUACUGAAUUAGAGUUCAUAAAGAAUGUUUAAAUUUUUUAGAAGGCCUGAAUAAACAAAGCCAAACAAAAGCAAUUGUUUUUAUUUCAUGGUCCCUCACAUAAUGCCCUGCUGUUCUUUUAGCUUUUUGAAAGCUCAUUUUACAGACACUACUCUGCAGAUGACCAAAGGAGCUUUUUCCAUACGUAGCUCAAAAAAUUAAAAAUAAAUAAAAAAGCACAUAAACUUGUAUACCUAUGACAGGAUUGCAACUAUGAUUCUGUUGUCCCCUAUCUCUGAUAGUGCUAAUGGAAGCAAACAUUUCAUUUGUUCUGUCUUCCAAGGUUAGCCCAUUACCUGUUACCAAUGGUUUGCUCUGUCAAAGACUUGUGUAGUAUGUAAAUAAUAGUCUUACACAUCCAAACCUGAGGCACUUCCACAGCCCACCCACAGCUACAAAGAAACCUGCCAUCACUGCCUUGUCUCUGUGUAGAAGAGCUUGGAAAUAUAGAGAAAUCACUCAUUUAAGGGCAGACUCCUUAAGGAUUAGGGCAAGAGGGGUAAACUUCUUAACAGUCUUUAAAUCACUGUGUGAAUCAGGGGUGGGUUCUUGUCAUUCAACAGGGUAAAGACAAACAGAAGCAAGCCUCUGAUCUGGAAAGUUGUCUUACUACUGUUAAGAUCACAGACCACUGCACAGAUGAAUUUUUCUGCUUUAAGGUAUCAAAAUACUCAGUAUACUGUAUCAAGGAUAAUUAAGGAUGGAAGGAGAAAUUCUAUGUGCUUUAUAAGCUAACAUUUCUCUGUUCAUUAAUCUGGAUAUGAGACCUUUCUGUUAAAUGAAUGCAUAAGUAUAUGGUAUAUUUUUGUCAAAAUGACAAAUGGAGGGGCAAGUGGGAAACUGGGGGUCAGAAUAGAUUAGCAAGGACCUUCAAAAUCAUCUGGAUUUUGCCAGGGUUUCAGAUUGCCCUAGGUCUGGGAGGUAUCACCUUCAGAAAAAGGUCUCAAGACAACACCUACAGUGUACUACAGGUACUAGAAAAGCAGAGGAAAGAAACUACAGCAUCAGAGAGAUGUCAAAUGGCACACAGCUACCCCCAUUGCUGUGUUCAGAGGCAGCCACAUGCAGGUCACUGCCAACACCAAGGUUUGGCUCUAGAAAAGCCACCAAAGCCUGUCUGCCAGACAAACAAGGCUGCGGACCCCUAGCCACCUAACACCAUCCCCUCUCUGAAGCAAACCUUUUGCUUCUCACAGCAGGCUGUUAUCUGCAGCUCCCCACACACAGUUGCUGAGGGCUCCUGUCAGUGUCUAAUUUAUAUAUGGACAUGUGACUUCAGAGCAUGUCUCUAAUGUGAUAGUGGCCACCUUAGGUCUAAACAAAGCAAUUUCCAAGUGACUAUGACCUAGUCCUUUGGUACCUUGAUUUUAUCAUGAUCUAGAAAAUAAGAACAUAUCACCCACACAAGAGCAAAUUCCAUAGCAUUUGCAAGCUGCCCACUAAUUUUUGAUACAACAUACCUAAACACAGACCAUCCCAUUGUGUUGUUUUCAAAUUCAGUGUGUUUAUAUUGCAAGUGUUUUAGAGGAGAAUGGUGGGGUUUAAAAUAUUUUAAAGGCACUUUUAAGCUUUCAGAAGAAAAAUAGCUAAUACUGGUAGAUAAAAUUUACAAAGUAAAUAGGACAUAGAUUCUUUUCAUAAGGUCUGAAGCAGCUGAUACAAUAUUUUUUUUCUCUUUUCUUCAACCAAUAGAGUAAAUCUUGGUAUGAAUUUAUAAAUGAGCAACAGACUAAGCAGAAAGAUGUCAACAGCCAGUUAGAAAUGAAAAAAGAAGCAGCAGUGUGGGAACUUUUCACAAGUGAAUGCACUUACUUUCUGGAUCAUUUGCUGGUUCUCAAGAUGGUAACGUCAGAUUUCACUUCACAAAAAUAAUGAAACAUUAUUUGUUCUUCUGUGAUGGACACAAAGCCUCCUGAAACCUCUCCUUAGAGAUCUGUGGAGGAAUGACUUAAGCACCUGGUGUUUCCUUUCACCUUGCCUGCUCAUCCUGUUUCUAUAGCUCCCUUCUAUGUCUUUAUGAUGGUAUCUCUUCUAAACAUCACUUUUCAGUGAUGCAGUCUAGUGCUCUGCAACUACCAUCUGACUGCAGAGCUUUCCAGGAUAUUCAACCGAUAUUCCAUCAGUUCUCUCACAAGCACUGUACUGAAACCAUGCAGCAAACAGUUAUUCCUGUACAAUUGCUAAUAUUGCUAGCGUGCAACAUUAUAUUUGUCAUUUAACUUCAUACAGAGCUGUGGUUAGAUUAUCCUGACAGGAGCAUGAAAACCUUAGAAUUCAGCAGACCUGUAGUUUUAAUGUUACACGAAAACAAGUAUACUGAAAAUAACUCUGCUCCCAAAAAUUCCGUAUUACCUCCAAUACAGUGAAUUUUAAGAGUUUGAAAUAUAGACAGGAAUAUUACAGACUGUUACAAGAAUAGCUGCACUAAUUAUAUUCACCACACAUCAAAAGUUAGUGUAUCCAUUCAAAAGGAUAGAAGCUUCCACAAAUCAUUUUUCUCUUAGUCGGCACAAACAAUUUCUGAUUUCUUAUUAAGUCAAAGAAAAGAGAUUUGUGAAACAUUUUCUAUGUUGCUGAAAAGUUAUCCUGCACAAUACAAGAGCAAAGUAAGGGAAAUAAAUAGAGGAGUGGGCUGAAUUCUUCCUUGGUGGGGCAGAACAGGAAGGGACAGAAAACAGGAUAGCAGGACCAGCUAUUGGUUCAAGGCAGGACCAGAGCAUCCUUCUUUCUAUACGCUUUGUUUAGAAAUCUGAAAAGUUUAAAAAGUGGUGAAUACUAGGAAGAAUGAAGAUAACAGCAGGAAUGCAGGCUCCUUGUGAGUCUGAUGUAGGAACCCACAGACAAGCCUUAGCCAGCCCUGCAUGGCCCAUGAAUGAUGAAAUAUUCAAUCCAUGCCAGUUUCCCAAACUCGCCUGCUAAAGAAAGAGCCCAUUGCAUUUGGGUAACCAGUUUUAAAGAUAUAUGCUUACUUCCAAGUAUAGAAAUAUUCCACUGAUUUUCAUGAAUCUCCACAGGGAGCUUUUAGACCCACCAUAAAGCCACUUUAAGCUCUCAGGACAACCAGGUCAUGGUAACUGAAGAAUUGCACAAGGCUAAGCAAACACUCUCACUAAUUAUUCAGUCUUGGCACCUGGAUGACAGGUUUUUUCAUGAUGCUUAUACACAUAAACAAAAAAAAAAAAUCUACUCAGUAACCUAUAAGUUUUAAGAUGUUUUCAGAUUUAGGUCAGAUUCAGCACAACUCAAUUAGAUUAAAAAAAUAUAAAAUCUUAAACAGCCAAUAAAUACACACACAGUUUUCACUGAAUACAGGCUAAUAAAACAAUCCAAAGAGAUUAAAAUCCUCCAUAGGACCUCUACUUACCUUAAUCCAAG